This 84-nucleotide microRNA precursor is filed under the name Myotis lucifugus (little brown bat). RNAcentral describes it as "mir-221 microRNA precursor family". It matches the Rfam family "mir-221 microRNA precursor family". The record is from Rfam by way of RNAcentral. Lineage: Eukaryota; Metazoa; Chordata; Mammalia; Chiroptera; Vespertilionidae.
UGGGGCUUGAACCUGGCAUACAAUGUAGAUUUCUGUGUUUGUUAAGCAACAGCUACAUUGUCUGCUGGGUUUCAGGCUACUUGG